Molecule: ribosomal RNA, 415 nt
Filed under: uncultured bacterium
Lineage: Bacteria
Description: bacterial SSU rRNA
Rfam family: Bacterial small subunit ribosomal RNA
Source: RNAcentral
AGCGAACGUUAGCGGCGCGCCUAACACAUGCAAGUCGCACGAGAAAGGGAGCAAUCCCCGGUACAGUGGCGCACGGGUGAGUAACACGUAGAUGACCUUCCCUGGAGUGGUGGAUAACCUGCCGAAAGGCGGGCUAAUACAGCAUGGGACCACAUGGUUUUGACCGAGUGGUGAAAGCGGGCCUCUGUUCACAAGCUCGCGCUCUGGGAUGGGUCUGCGUCCCAUCAGCUAGUUGGUGAGGUAAUGGCUCACCAAGGCAUCGACGGGUAGCUGGUCUGAGAGGAUGACCAGCCACACUGGAACUGAGACACGGUCCAGACUCCUACGGGAGGCAGCAGUGGGGAAUCUUGCGCAAUGGGCGAAAGCCUGACGCAGCGACGCGCGUGGGUGAUGAAGGCCUUCGGGUUGUAAGACC